RNAcentral lists this ribosomal RNA (360 nucleotides) under uncultured bacterium. RNAcentral describes it as "bacterial SSU rRNA". It matches the Rfam family "Bacterial small subunit ribosomal RNA", at positions 30 to 389 of the family's 1533-position model. The record is from RNAcentral.
AUUGAACGCUGGCGGCAUGCCUUACACAUGCAAGUCGAACGGCAGCACGGGAGCAAUCCUGGUGGCGAGUGGCGAACGGGUGAGUAAUAUAUCGGAACGUGCCCAGUCGUGGGGGAUAACGUAGCGAAAGCUACGCUAAUACCGCAUACGAUCUAUGGAUGAAAGCGGGGGGAUCGCAAGACCUCGCGCGAUUGGAGCGGCCGAUAUCAGAUUAGGUAGUUGGUGAGGUAAAGGCUCACCAAGCCGACGAUCUGUAGCUGGUCUGAGAGGACGACCAGCCACACUGGGACUGAGACACGGCCCAGACUCCUACGGGAGGCAGCAGUGGGGAAUUUUGGACAAUGGGCGCAAGCCUGAUCC